CUUACGGGUACUUGCAAGCUUAUAUCUGUUUGGCAUGUUUUUUCCGGAUCAAGUUUCCCUGGCCCACACUCUAUGGCAGAGAACUUAAGGCCUUCGAUCUCCUUGUCCCUACAUUGAGGUAGACACCAAAUUCCACAACUUCCUAUGCCAAACUCUGUGCCUAGUAUUCAGAAACGUAUGCACACCAGCAUCCUGAGCCUCCGUGAGAAGACAAGAGUCCAAUCCUGGAUUAGUUGACUUAGAUGCACAUUUUUGUAUUUCACAGAUACAUAAAGCAGCUGGCAUCCAGGUAUAAACAGGAAGUACAAUAUCCAGCUCAUUUCCCUGUUGCUCAACUGUUGGCAAAGUUUUGCUGCAAACAACACUAUUUAAGGAUGGCCUGAAGGAUAUGCCGUCUAGGCUGUUUUCUCCCAGUCCUUUGAAAUCUACCUAAGGCCGGCAGAGAGCACCGCGCACUGCCACAUGAUCUGGCCUAUGG
Molecule: long non-coding RNA, 478 nt
Filed under: Homo sapiens (human)
Lineage: Eukaryota; Metazoa; Chordata; Mammalia; Primates; Hominidae
Description: non-protein coding lnc-RTN4-4:1
Source: RNAcentral